Molecule: ribosomal RNA, 253 nt
Filed under: uncultured bacterium
Lineage: Bacteria
Description: partial 16S ribosomal RNA
Rfam family: Bacterial small subunit ribosomal RNA
Source: RNAcentral
UACGUAGGGCGCAAGCGUUGUCCGGAAUUAUUGGGCGUAAAGAGCUCGUAGGCGGCCUGUUGCGUCCGCUGUGAAAUCCCGGGGCUUAACCCCGGGCGUGCAGUGGAUACGGGCAGACUGGAGGCAUGCAGGGGAGAACGGAAUUCCUGGUGUAGCGGUGAAAUGCGCAGAUAUCAGGAGGAACACCGGUGGCGAAGGCGGUUCUCUGGGCAUGUCCUGACGCUGAGGAGCGAAAGUGUGGGGAGCGAACAGG